This is a long non-coding RNA of Tripterygium wilfordii, 2545 nucleotides long. RefSeq lists it as uncharacterized. The transcript is spliced from 2 exons. The record is from RefSeq and is a predicted model, not a curated record. Lineage: Eukaryota; Viridiplantae; Streptophyta; Magnoliopsida; Celastrales; Celastraceae.
GAGCCGCCUCUUCUUCUCUCCUCCUCUCCCCCUCCCUCUCCUGCCCCUCCUUCUUUUUCCCAGCCUCUCCCCCUCCCUCUUCCCUGUCUCUCCUCUCCCAAACCUUUCUUUCCCUUUCUGUCUUUCUCCUCUUAUCCCAUGAGUUAGAUCUGCCUUUACUCCACCUAUAUUUGUUUGAUUUUGUUAUGUUUUUGUGUUUGAAUAAGGAUUUUGCAGGUUUCUCUUCGAUCUUCAUAUUUCAAUCUCCUCCAUCUAUCACGGAUCUUUGAUCAUCAAUGUUUUUGGUGUGCUCCAGCGACAUAUAUUCAGAUUUUAGUGAUGUGAUUUUCAGAUCUAAGAGAGUUUGACCUCUCUUGUAGAUAAAAAUUACAAUCUAUGUGUGUUUUUUUGUUACCCGACAUAAAUCGGUGGAGUCGGACUCCUUCGACGAUGUAUGGUGUAAAUGGUGUCGUCCAAUAAUGUCUAACAAUGUUCAUUUUAGUGUUUUUUUUUUAAUUUGGGUUUUUAGUUCUCUAACUUGUAUUUCAUCUUUAUGGUGGUUUCGAGUGUCUACGAGUCUCGUCUCAUUUAUAAAAUUUAUUGAGUAACUUAAUACAAUCAGAUAUAUGACAUUUUCAAAAUAAAAUAAAAUAAUGAAUAAUAUAAUUGAUUACAUUUAUUUCUCAUUUUAUUUAAAAUAAUACCAACACAUUAUAUGAUUUUCCUAAUUGGACGAUUAACCGAAUGAAGACCCAUUUAUUGGUUUUGGGUUUUCUGGGUUUGCAACAACAAUGGUCUUUUCUUGCUUCAACAGUCCUCGAUUGUCACUUACGAUUGACGACAAGUGGCAAGCUAUAGGUCAUUGCCACAAUGUUCAAAGCUUUUAUUUCAGAGGUAUAAGCACAAAAUUUUUUGGUCGAUGGGUUGGAAGAGUGGGAACUUAGGCAUGCAGUGAUUGGAGUUUUAUCGGAGGAUCUAAACUUCUCAUUAUGCCCAAAGUUACAAGCUUUGUUCACCAUGGAAUGGGAUCUGGAGUAAUUGCUUCAUAUAACUUUUCCGUCGCUUACAUUGCUUAUUAUCAUUGAUCUUAUGUCAAAAGUUUCCUGAGUUAUUUUUGUCUGGUCGCAAUAUAGAGUUAGAUGCUCAUGUCUGCAACUGUCACUUAAAAACGUCAUGUUACCUAUCGGUCUCAGUAAUCCACAUAAUCCAGAAAACUAAAAUUCUGUCAUCUGCUGCACUUAAUACUGAAAUUUUUUUACCGUCACAGAUGUUUGGAGGCUCAAUUUAGAAUAAAUUGAUCUAACCAGAAAAGUUGGUUGCCUUUCUAUUGUCUGCUCAUAAAGCUUUGAUAAAGCUAGAAUGGGGCUACCUUAUCUGAUGUUCUAACUUCUAACUGUGCCAUGACUUGCCACAAUCUACUGGUCCAAGUGAUAAGUUUUCACAAUGUUAUCUAGUGAUGCUCACACUUGUUUGGAUCAUUCCAUUCACAGACCAAAAAGUCUGGAAAGUACCAUACCCUAUACUGAGCUCGGAUUAUUAUAUGGAUAUCUUCUAUAACUCUCCUGGAUGCCCGAUGCUAUACUGCAUGUGAUGUUCCCAAUCAAAUUAUACUUGCUGCCAGAAGUAUGUAUAUCAACAAACUCCGCCCACUUUUUUGUCAAUAAAUGAAAAAACCUUCUUACUUAAUUACUUUCCUGUAUUUAUACCAUGCGAAGCUGCCUGGUAUUGCAAAGAUGUUAAUCAAGCAAGAUGGCAUUAGCUUCUGCAUGGAUUCACUUAUUGGCUUUAGAUCUCUUUGAGGCAAGGUCUUUCCCCUCCAUUGCCUUGUUUUACAUAUCUCUCUUUCUCCCUCAAUUCUUACUCUAGAUUGUUCUGUUAGUUUUGAUCCUUAUAUUGUCUGGUUCUGCUAUAUGCCUUCUUUUUCUGUCCUGUUGGAAUUCUUACUUAUGUUCCACUAAGGCACUCGCUGAAGGUGCUGGAAUUCUGGGGAAAUACUAAGCAUGGCAUGUAGUAACAUCUCUUUCAGAAACAUUUGACUAUGGAUCAUCAGUAGCACACUAAUUUGAAUGACAAUUUGCUCAAAUGGAUUAUCAUAUAUAAUUUGAGCUCAUUGUUUCAUCAAUGCAGUGAGCGAAGGUGUUAGACAUCGUCGCAUAAAAAUACGUGGAGUGUUAUUGAUCAUCUUUCAGUAGCAAAUGACAAUUACUUAUCACAUGCAUGUGUUUGAAAGAUUAUUUUGAGAUGCCUUAACACUGCACAAUCAAAACCUUUCCAGAUGCUCUUGUUGCCAUCUUCUUGCAGAUUCCAGGAUUCUAACUUGAAAAGCAGAAAGACUCGGAAGGGCUAUUAUCAAUAGUCCAAACUCCAAACUCCAAACUGAUACCUGUAGUGCCUGAAAUUCACCUUUGACUGUAACCAUUGAUUGCAUUUGCUAUCUCACACCAAUUGUUGCAAAAGGCCUAGUCCUGGACUUGAUUAUUUCUUUCAUUGUUUUAUUUUGACAACCGUUGGAGGAGAUAUUUAUUGAAAUUGAAGGCAAAUCAAGAGAUUAUUGUCUUUUUUUUUU